AUUUAUUCCUGCCCGAAGUCAAACUCCGUUACAGGCUACUGGCAAUGAAAAUUACCGAUCAAAAAUUGUGGUUUCAAAAUGUUUGCACGGGGCUGAUAAACUUCAGUGAGCUGUAUCUGAUGUUUCUUGGGGGGUCAGCCAACAGGGCUUUCCCCGAUUUGUUUCCAUGUUUUAGCAAUCCAGAAAAGUCCCCUGUAAGCAGCACCCUUGCGAUGGGACCGUGGGCAUGGCCGCAGUGAGAAUACGGCCGGUUCCAGAGGAAAGCGCUGGGGGAGGAAGACACCCUGUACGAGUGUGUGAAACAUACAGAAAACUCUCCCGUUCAGGGUGUCACGCACAACCUUUUGCAAUGGAUACAAGUUCAGAGAACUCCAAGUGCAGAUCAUCUAACCCUCCUUAAUACCAGACAUUGUUUAUUUGUUGGAAGCAGUUCCCUCUGAAAACUGAAAUGCUUGGAAUUACAGUGGAUUGGUAACAAAAAAAUGAUGCGCUCACCAAAGAGUGUAAAAGGAGAUUGGAUAACUGUGUGAUAACGAUAAAAUACUGUGUGUGUUGCAGAAAAAUC
Long non-coding RNA from Chroicocephalus ridibundus (black-headed gull), 565 nucleotides. RefSeq lists it as uncharacterized. The record is from RefSeq and is a predicted model, not a curated record. NCBI's taxonomy places the organism in Eukaryota, Metazoa, Chordata, Aves, Charadriiformes, Laridae. The transcript has 3 exons.